RNAcentral lists this ribosomal RNA (433 nucleotides) under uncultured bacterium. Its description in RNAcentral is "partial 16S ribosomal RNA". It matches the Rfam family "Bacterial small subunit ribosomal RNA", at positions 29 to 507 of the family's 1533-position model. The record is from RNAcentral.
AACGAACGCUGGCGGCAUGCCUAACACAUGCAAGUCGAACGAGACCUUCGGGUCUAGUGGCGAACGGGUGCGUAACGCGUGGGAACCUGCCCUUAGGUUCGGAAUAACUCCCCGAAAGGGGUGCUAAUACCGGAUCAUGUCUUCGGACCAAAGAUUUAUCGCCUUUGGAUGGGCCCGCGUUGGAUUAGCUAGUUGGUAGGGUAAAAGCCUACCAAGGCGACGAUCCAUAGCUGGUCUGAGAGGAUGAUCAGCCACACUGGGACUGAGACACGGCCCAGACUCCUACGGGAGGCAGCAGUGGGGAAUAUUGGACAAUGGGCGAAAGCCUGAUCCAGCAAUGCCGCGUGAGUGAUGAAGGCCUUAGGGUUGUAAAGCUCUUUUACCCGGGAUGAUAAUGACAGUACCGGGAGAAUAAGCUCCGGCUAACUCCGUG